GAUGAAGAACUUAGCGAAAUGCGAUAAGUAAUGUGAAUUGCAGAGUUCAGUGAAUCAUCGAAUCUUUGAACGCACAUUGCGCCCCCUGGUAUUCCGGGGGGCAUGCCUGUCCGAGCGUCAUUACAACCCUCAAGCUCAGCUUGGUGUUGGGCCCCGCCGCCCCGGCGGGCCCUAAAGUCAGUGGCGGUGCCGUCCGGCUCCGAGCGUAGUAAUUCUUCUCGCUCUGGAGGCCCGGUCGUGUGCUCGCCAGCAACCCCCAAUUUUUUUCAGGUUGACCUCGGAUCAGGUAGGGAUACCCGCUGAACUUAAGCAUAUCAAUAAGCGGAGGA
This 329-nucleotide unclassified non-coding RNA is filed under the name soil metagenome. RNAcentral's name for it is "partial contains 5.8S ribosomal RNA, internal transcribed spacer 2, and large subunit ribosomal RNA". The stretch from base 1 to 120 matches the Rfam family "5.8S ribosomal RNA", at positions 35 to 154 of the family's 154-position model. The record is from RNAcentral.